GUUUUACAACAGUUAUCUUAAAGUCUAUAAAUCAUGGUUAUUAGUACUCGUAAUAAUGAGAACUCUUAAUGGAUUCAAUGCAUCGUAUUGAAGAUUUUGGAAAUUUGCCAAAAGCAAUUGAUAAUAAUGUUCUUUCAUGCAACAGAUAUGUGAAUAUAUGCACAUUUUCAAGGAACAAUCGAUACAAGUAUUUAAUUUCAAUAAUUUCAUUAAAAGUAUAAUCGAACACUUCCUGAAAAGGGGGAUUUAUUAAUGUUAAUCAAUUAUAAUUUCCGCGUGUAUAAAUGACUAUCAAGGUCUCGCGCCAUUAUCAUCGAUUUAAAAUAUCAAAGUAUUUAUAAAUGCGCAUGCUCGGACUCAAAUGGCGCGGCAGAACACGUACAAGAGUGAUCGAGACAGAAUAUUAGCGGGACUAGCGAAGCUGAGAAGGACAUCGAAGUAAAAUGGCUGCAGCAAGUGCCAACAUAUACUUACACUUGUACUUUUCACGUAUCUUCUGGUAAUUUUCGAGCAUGAUCUCGCGUGAUAUUUGACCACGAUUAAGGGCACGGUCACCAAUGGAACGCAUGGACACAACAUGGCUGCUAGACGCGCGAAGCAACCAAGACGACUUCGCUUCGAUACUGAAGCACGAUAAGUGCUACGCACGCCACGUAUGACCGACUGUCACUGUCUGCUGUGCUCGCUCGAGGGGAUGAAGGGACUGUGUAUGGUUCUGGUUCAAUCAUGUUUCACGCAAUGUCGCCGAUACAUACGAUCAACUGUCAAGUGGGGAAAGCGGUAAUACCUAAAAGACGGAAAUAGAUAUAAAUUGUCCAUCUGCCGGGACGUUUUGAAAAGAAAGAAAUGAUCCGCACGGGAGCGAGGCGAAGCCUUAUCUCGAACCGAAGUGUCACGUUACAAAACAGAAACAUUGGGGAUUCGACGAUGUUUACCAUGGAACGGCAACACACCACGAAUCGGCGUGGAAUCGAAUGAGAUAAAAGUCGAAUGGGUGUUUCGUCCGGACGACAUGGACGCCUCGUCUUCGACUCGUUUCUUGUUGUCACACACGGUCCCGAGCCGUGUACGCUCACGGAUACACACACACACGCACACACGGUCCCGAGCCGUGUACGCUCACGGAUACACACACACACACGCACACACGGUCCCGAGCCGUGUACGCUCACGGAUACACACACACGGUUGGGCCGGUAUACGUGGCAGGCAACACACGUAUAGGAAGGCGAGGAACGCAGAUUGCUAGAGGCGCUGUUCCGCUGACCUACUCUACGAUUAUCACUCACUAUAGGCCGAUCGCCGGUGCAGGUGCGUGUGCGUUAACUAGCGUUGCCAACUAUACCUCCUCGAGGAAAGGAGGACGCGGUGCGGGGACGUAAUCAAAUAAACAUUUUCGGUCCUUUUACCGAUUUCUUCUCCUCCAACCCGAUCUCUUUUCAUCCAAAUGUAAUUUCACAUCCCAACGAAUAUUUAUCUCACGCUUUUUUACUCCUCAGAAUUGCGAUUAUUGGACGAUAAUAUUAAUCUUUCUCUUGACGAGUUA
This 1546-nucleotide long non-coding RNA is filed under the name Apis mellifera (honey bee). RNAcentral describes it as "uncharacterized LOC102654569, transcript variant X3". The record is from RNAcentral. Lineage: Eukaryota; Metazoa; Arthropoda; Insecta; Hymenoptera; Apidae.